RNAcentral lists this ribosomal RNA (101 nucleotides) under Bacillus licheniformis. RNAcentral describes it as "partial 23S ribosomal RNA". It matches the Rfam family "Bacterial large subunit ribosomal RNA", at positions 2827 to 2925 of the family's 2925-position model. The record is from RNAcentral. Lineage: Bacteria; Bacillati; Bacillota; Bacilli; Caryophanales; Bacillaceae.
AGUAAGAUCCCUGAAAGAUGAUCAGGUUGAUAGGUCUGAGGUGGAAGUGUGGCGACACAUGGAGCUGACAGAUACUAAUCGAUCGAGGACUUAACCUAAUA